RNAcentral lists this ribosomal RNA (483 nucleotides) under uncultured bacterium. RNAcentral's name for it is "partial 16S ribosomal RNA". It matches the Rfam family "Bacterial small subunit ribosomal RNA", at positions 30 to 506 of the family's 1533-position model. The record is from RNAcentral.
AUUGAACGCUGGCGGCAUGCCUAACACAUGCAAGUCGAGCGGAUGAAGGGAGCUCGCUCCUGGAUUCAGCGGCGGACGGGUGAGUAAUGCCUAGGUAUCUGCCCUGCAUUUGGGGAUAACGUCCCUUAACGGGCGCUAAUAUCGCACACGUCCUUAGUUUGAAAGGCAGGGAUCUUCGGACCUCACGCUUCUUGCUGACCCUAGCUCGGAUUAGCUGGCUGCUUGGGUAAAGGCGUACCAAGGCGACGUACCGUAACUGGUCUGAGAGGAUGAUCUGUCACACUGGACCUGAGACCCGGUCCAGCCUCCUCCGGGAGGCGGCGGUGGGGAAUUUUGGACAAUGGGGGAAAGCCUGAGCAAGCCAUGCCGCGGGGGUGUAGAAGGUCUUCGGUUUGUAAAGCCCUUUAAGUUGGGAGGAAGGGCAGGAAGUUAACACCUUGCCGUUUGGACGUUCCCAACAGAAUAGGCACCGGUAACUUCCGU